AACGAACGCUGGCGGCAGGCCUAACACAUGCAAGUCGAGCGAACCCUUCGGGGUUAGCGGCGGACGGGUUAGUAACGCGUGGGAAUAUACCCUUUGGUACGGAAUAGCCUCGGGAAACUGAGAGUAAUACCGUAUGUGCCCUUCGGGGAAGGAUUAUCGCCAAAGGAUUAGCCCGCGUUGGAUUAGAUAGUUGGUGGGGUAAUGGCCUACCAAGUCUACGAUCCAUAGCUGGUUUGAGAGGAUGAUCAGCAACACUGGGACGUGAGACACGGCCCAGACUCCUACGGGAGGCAGCAGUGGGGAAGUCUUAGACAAUGGGCGGCAAGCCUGAUCUAGCCAUGCCGCCGUGGACGAUGAAGGCCUUA
Molecule: ribosomal RNA, 365 nt
Filed under: uncultured bacterium
Lineage: Bacteria
Description: bacterial SSU rRNA
Rfam family: Bacterial small subunit ribosomal RNA
Source: RNAcentral